Molecule: ribosomal RNA, 440 nt
Filed under: uncultured Bacillota bacterium
Lineage: Bacteria; Bacillati; Bacillota
Description: bacterial SSU rRNA
Rfam family: Bacterial small subunit ribosomal RNA
Source: RNAcentral
GGGCCCGCACAAGCAGUGGAGUAUGUGGUUUAAUUCGAAGCAACGCGAAGAACCUUACCAGGGCUUGACAUACAGAUGAAUUAUGUGGAAACAUGUAAGCUCUUCGGAGCAUCUGUACAGGUGGUGCAUGGUUGUCGUCAGCUCGUGUCGUGAGAUGUUGGGUUAAGUCCCGCAACGAGCGCAACCCCUGUUGCUAGUUACUAACAUUUAGUUGAGGACUCUAGCGAGACUGCCGCAGAUAAUGCGGAGGAAGGUGGGGAUGACGUCAAAUCAUCAUGCCCUUUAUGUCCUGGGCAACACACGUACUACAAUGGUCGUAACAGAGAGAGUCGAUACCGCGAGGUGGAGAAAAACUGAUAAAAGCGACCUCAGUUCAGAUUGAAGGCUGAAACUCGCCUCCAUGAAGAUGGAAUUGCUAGUAAUGGCAGGUCAGCAUACUG